This 460-nucleotide ribosomal RNA is filed under the name uncultured bacterium. RNAcentral's name for it is "partial 16S ribosomal RNA". It matches the Rfam family "Bacterial small subunit ribosomal RNA", at positions 338 to 795 of the family's 1533-position model. The record is from RNAcentral.
CCUACGGGAGGCAGCAGUGAGGAAUAUUCGUCAAUGGGCGCGAGCCUGAACGAGCAAAGUAGCGUGAAGGAUGACAGCCCUACGGGUUGUAAACAUCUGUUAACAAGGAAUAAAGAGAGGCACGUGUGCCUUUUUGUAUGUACUUUAUGAAUAAGGAACGGCUAACUCCGUGCCAGCAGCCGCGGUAAUACGGAGGAUGCGAGCGUUAUCCGUAUUUAUUGGGUUUAAAGGGAGCGUAGAUGGGUUGUUAAGUCAGUUGUGAAAGUUUGCGGCUCAACCGUAAGAGUGCAAUUGAUACUGGCAGUCUUGAGUACAGUUGAGGUAAGCGGAAUUCGUGGUGUAGCGGUGAAAUGCUUAGAUAUCACGAAGAACUCCGAUUGCGAAGGCAGCUUACUAAACUGCCCCUGACAUUGAUGCUCGAAAGUGUGGGUAUCAAACAGGAUUAGAUACCCUUGUAGUC